GGACCCGCACAAGUAGUGGAGCAUGUGGUUUAAUUCGAAGAUACGCGCAGAACCUUACCAACACUUGACAUGUUCGUCGCGACUCUAAGAGAUUAGAGUUUUCGGUUCGGCCGGACGAAACACAGGUGCUGCAUGGCUGUCGUCAGCUCGUGUCGUGAGAUGUUGGGUUAAGUCCCGCAACGAGCGCAACCCUCACUUUUAGUUGCCAUCAUUAAGUUGGGCACUCUGAAAGAACUGCCAGUGAUAAGCUGGAGGAAGGUGGGGAUGACGUCAAGUCCUCAUGGCCCUUACGUGUUGGGCUACACACGUGCUACAAUGGUAUCUACAACAGGAAGCAAAACAGCGAUGUUAAGCAAAUCCUUAAAAGAUACCUCAGUUCGGAUUGCACUCUGCAACUCGAGUGCAUGAAGCUGGAAUUACUAGUAAUCGCAGGUC
RNAcentral lists this ribosomal RNA (435 nucleotides) under uncultured bacterium. Its description in RNAcentral is "bacterial SSU rRNA". It matches the Rfam family "Bacterial small subunit ribosomal RNA", at positions 917 to 1350 of the family's 1533-position model. The record is from RNAcentral.